AACGAACGCUGGCGGCAUGCCUAACACAUGCAAGUCGAACGAGACCUUCGGGUCUAGUGGCGCACGGGUGCGUAACGCGUGGGAACCUGCCCUUAGGUUCGGAAUAACUCCCCGAAAGGGGUGCUAAUACCGGAUAAUGUCUUCGGACCAAAGAUUUAUCGCCUUUGGAUGGGCCCGCGUUGGAUUAGCUAGUUGGUAGGGUAAAAGCCUACCAAGGCGACGAUCCAUAGCUGGUCUGAGAGGAUGAUCAGCCACACUGGGACGGAGACACGGCCCAGACUCCUACGGGAGGCAGCAGUGGGGAAUAUUGGACAAUGGGCGAAAGCCUGAUCCAGCAAUGCCGCGUGAGUGAUGAAGGCCUUAGGGUUGUAAAGCUCUUUUACCCGGGAUGAUAAUGACAGUACCGGGAGAAUAAGCUCCGGCUAACUCCGUG
RNAcentral lists this ribosomal RNA (433 nucleotides) under uncultured bacterium. RNAcentral describes it as "partial 16S ribosomal RNA". It matches the Rfam family "Bacterial small subunit ribosomal RNA", at positions 29 to 507 of the family's 1533-position model. The record is from RNAcentral.